GAUGAAGAACGCAGCGAAAUGCGAUAAGUAAUGUGAAUUGCAGAAUUCAGUGAAUCAUCGAUUCUUUGAACGCACAUUGCGCCCGCCAGUAUUCUGGCGGGCAUGCCUGUUCGAGCGUCAUUUCAACCCUCAAGCACAGCUUGGUGUUGGGACUCGCGUUAAUUCGCGUUCCCCAAAUUGAUUGGCGGUCACGUCGAGCUUCCAUAGCGUAGUAGUAAAACCCUCGUUACUGGUAAUCGUCGCGGCCACGCCGUUAAACCCCAACUUCUGAAUGUUGACCUCGGAUCAGGUAGGAAUACCCGCUGAACUUAAGCAUAUCAAUAAGCGGAGGA
RNAcentral lists this unclassified non-coding RNA (332 nucleotides) under soil metagenome. Its description in RNAcentral is "partial contains 5.8S ribosomal RNA, internal transcribed spacer 2, and large subunit ribosomal RNA". The stretch from base 1 to 120 matches the Rfam family "5.8S ribosomal RNA", at positions 35 to 154 of the family's 154-position model. The record is from RNAcentral.